GACGAAGGUGGCAAGCGUUGUUCGGUAUCACUGGGCUUAAAGAGUGUGUAGGCGGAGAUGUAAGCGUCGUGUGAAAGUCCUCGGCUUAACCGAGGAAUUGCUCGACGAACUACUUCUCUUGAGGCAAGUAGGGGUGCACGGAACUCUUGGUGGAGCGGUGGAAUGCGUAGAUAUCAAGAGGAACGCCAGUGGUGAAAACGGUGCACUGGGCUUGUUCUGACGCUGAGACACGAAAGCGUGGGUAGCGAACGGGAUUAGAUACCCCUGUA
RNAcentral lists this ribosomal RNA (269 nucleotides) under uncultured prokaryote. RNAcentral's name for it is "partial 16S ribosomal RNA". It matches the Rfam family "Bacterial small subunit ribosomal RNA", at positions 524 to 792 of the family's 1533-position model. The record is from RNAcentral.